UACGUAGGGGGCAAGCGUUAUCCGGAUUUACUGGGUGUAAAGGGAGCGUAGACGGCUGUGCAAGUCAGAAGUGAAAGCCCGGGGCUCAACCCCGGGACUGCUCUUGAAACUGCAUGGCUGGAGUGCAGGAGAGGUAAGCGGAAUUCCUGGUGUAGCGGUGAAAUGCGUAGAUAUCAGGAGGAACACCAGUGGCGAAGGCGGCUUACUGGACUGUAACUGACGUUGAGGCUCGAAAGCGUGGGGAGCAAACAGG
Molecule: ribosomal RNA, 253 nt
Filed under: uncultured bacterium
Lineage: Bacteria
Description: partial 16S ribosomal RNA
Rfam family: Bacterial small subunit ribosomal RNA
Source: RNAcentral